CACAGAGAAUGUUGGGAAAACUCAGCAGGUCUGACAGCAUCUGUGGAGAAAGAAACCGAGUUAACAGUUUGAGUCUUUGAUACGUUCUCUGAAUGUGGGAAGCGGAGGAUAAGCCCUAUUUGAACUCCUGAUCUAUAUACAGCAGCACCACUCCGUUGAUCCUGGCUGCUGAAGGGAGAAGACUCAUGGUGUCCCAGAAUUACAGGGCAGCUCAGGCCAAAUGUAAUUAUUGUACGAGAGUUUUGCAAGGAACCCUUCUCAAAAUCACGGUUGGGAGCUGAAAUUUUGGUUUUGAGCUCCAAGACAUCGAUGACCAAUCCAAUUCCCCUCCGCCAAUUGAUCUUCUCUUCCCUAUCAACCACUCACUGAGGACCUCAGCAGUUUUCAAGCUUCAAUAUGGUGCCACAGUGAAGAAGUUAAGAGUGGCAUUGUUUUUAACCUUACUUAAGUCCAGAGCUAACUUCUGGGUGAGGAGAUGACAUAUAAACAUAGGGUUCGCAUCAACAGAACUCAUGUCAUCUUGUGCCACUGAGGUUAUCCAGGGUGGCAGCUUGUUACCAUCCUCAUCCACAUCUCGAGAUAUGGCCAAAAGUGAAAGGUGCAGAUAGCAUGACCAUUGUUCAUAUCCCCGCCUCAUACUAACACUCUCCUUCUGAAGUUGUGUUUGAGGACAGUUUCCUACACCAUUGAUGAGGAGGCACUGUCAUGUGAUUGGACACUUCCAGUUCAGCUCCUGAUCAGUGUGUACCUUAGCAGAUAGCUUAGAAUUGGCACCUAUACUGGGUGAAUAACAGAAAUGGGCUGCAACCCAACCAGAGGAAAGGAGGGACUAUAUGGAGGAAGUGCUGGAUGUCUUGAAGCACAUAAAAGUGGAUAAAUCCGCAGGAUCUGAUCAGGUGUACCCUCGAACUCUGUGGAAAACUAGGAAAGUGAUUUCUGGGCGUCUUACUGAGACAUUUGUAUCAUCGAUAGUCACAGAUGGGGUGCCAGAAAAUUAGAGAUUGGCU
Molecule: non-coding RNA, 1007 nt
Organism: Chiloscyllium plagiosum (whitespotted bambooshark)
Lineage: Eukaryota; Metazoa; Chordata; Chondrichthyes; Orectolobiformes; Hemiscylliidae
Source: RefSeq, a predicted model, not a curated record